RNAcentral lists this long non-coding RNA (1397 nucleotides) under Sus scrofa (pig). RNAcentral describes it as "lncRNA (ENSSSCG00055009819.1)". Lineage: Eukaryota; Metazoa; Chordata; Mammalia; Artiodactyla; Suidae. The record is from RNAcentral.
CGGCGCUAGGUGUGCCCCAGGGCAAGAGGAGGCGCUGAGGAAUCUGGUGACCCCUACCCUGGGGGUGUGAUCACACCUCCCCUCUCCGCCCGCUCAGCACUGUCAAGCCAGGGCAGACAUUGGUUACACGUUACAGAGUCAGCAUGUAGCUGCUGCCCGUGGUAAAGGUAAUACCUACCCUGCAAAAAUCAUGAGCUAGGAAACCGCAUUACAGGGAAAAACCCUGUGGUCUCUGCACAACUUGCUGGUAUGCGGGCUGGCUCCCUUCGAGUGGGCUGUGGGUGUGAGUGCAUAAGAACAAGCAGCGCUGCCACCGUUUUUAAUACCCGUUUAAUGGGUGUAAUCACGCAAUUUUACAGCCUAUUUUUAAAACGAGAUCAUAAAUACCCACGUCAUUAAAGUUUUCAAGACCAUCCCUUCUCAAAGAUGCAAGAGGGAGAACAGCUUAUAAAGAUGAAGGUGGGAGUUCCCGUUCUGGCACAUCAGAAACAAAUCUGACGAGGAACCAUGAGGUUGCGAGUUCGAUCCCUGGCCUCGCUCCGUGGGUUAGGGAUCUGGCGUUGCCGUGAGCUGUGGGGUAGGUCACAGACUCGGCUCGGAUCUGGCUUUGCUGUGGCCCUGGCGUAGGCCAGAGGCUACCGUUCCAUUUGGACCCCUAGCCGGGGAACCUCCAUAUGCCGUGGGUGUGGCCCCAAAAGGACAAAAAAGACAAUAAAUAAAUAAAGAUGAAGGUGAAACCAAAUUGAAAGGAAAAAAAAAGGGUUGUCUAAGCCGGAGAAAGCAACAAAGGGAAAGAGUAAAACGUCAAGGGAUUUAUGAGAUUGGUUUUCAAUUCUAAGAUCCAGACUCACGGAAAGAGUGGAAAUGACUCGGGUCACGGGCAGAUCUGUGGACACGGGCACGGCCACGGGUCAAAGACUGGGCCACCGGGCAUGGAUUUAUAAUGCUGAGAAUCAGAACUCCCGGCCCCAUCGCCUCAAUGCCUUCCUUCCUUCCAGCCAAGUAGCAUCUGCACUAACAGUAGCAUCUGCACCAAUAGAUGCCACUGCCUUCGGGGGUGCAAGAACCCUGAUCCUCUUUACCAAUAAUUUAAUACGACUUUGGUUUAACUGCAAGGAAAAGGAAUGAUUUUUAGGAUCAUUACUAUAUAUUGACAAUAUCCUAUUACUAGGAGCGGCCACUUUUUUCUUUUCCUUUUUUUUUUUUUUUUUUUUUUGGUCUUUUGUCUUUUGAGGGCCACACCCACAGCAUAUGAAGGUUCCCAGGCUAGGGGUCGAAUUGGAGCUGUAGCCGCCAGUCUACACCACAGCCACAGCAACGGGAGAUCCAAGCCGCAUCUGCGACCUACACCACAGCUCACGGCAACACCAGAUCCUUAACCCACCGAGUGAGGCCAG